This 125-nucleotide small RNA is filed under the name Marmota monax (woodchuck). Lineage: Eukaryota; Metazoa; Chordata; Mammalia; Rodentia; Sciuridae. The record is from RNAcentral.
GCAGGCGUGGUGGCGCAUGCCUGUAAUCCUAGCAGCUUGGGAGGCUGAGGCAGGAGGAUCGGGAGUUCAAAGCCAGCCUCAGCAAGUAGAGAGGCCCUAAGCAACUUAGUGAGACCCUGUCUCUA